CACGUGCCCAAACAAUCGCGCUCAUGAAAAGUACGAAAUCUAUAUUUUACACUCUCCUUAAAGAGUAUUUCAUAGGAUUUUUUUUUUCUGACCGAUAUAUAUGACAUGAAUAUUUAUUUCACUCGUAUAUUGUCCGCUCGUUUUUUCACAUGCUGCAUUCGUAUUCAGUUUUAUGGACACACGGACGCACGGUGUAGUUCAACUUGUUGUUACGAAAAGCAAAAAACAAGGGAUCCGAGAUUUGGGAUUUGUUUAAAGAAAAUAUCUCUUAUUACUAAUUAUUGGAUUUUACGGCGUCCCGAAGAUUUCGGCCGCUUCUGUUACAUAAAUCCC
Molecule: non-coding RNA, 333 nt
Organism: Cinara cedri
Lineage: Eukaryota; Metazoa; Arthropoda; Insecta; Hemiptera; Aphididae
Source: the annotation of a GenBank genome assembly